RNAcentral lists this long non-coding RNA (285 nucleotides) under Brachypodium distachyon (stiff brome). Its description in RNAcentral is "long non-coding RNA (BDIS_LNC001686)". Lineage: Eukaryota; Viridiplantae; Streptophyta; Magnoliopsida; Poales; Poaceae. The record is from RNAcentral.
AAGCUAGAGUAGAAAUUGGAUGGCAAGGGAAAAUUUGAGCUAGAAUAAAACAACAAGUUUCAGAAGCCAUAGUUAAUGAGAUACACAGGCCACGUGUCCUUGAUUACACAGGCCAAUGAGCUACUGUACUGUUAUUUCAAAUUUUGUUGCAAUCAGUCCUAACCAAAUUCCUCGCUACUGUGUACUGCAUUUUCUGUAUACAAAUUGAGCAUGCAGCCAUUAUGAACAGGAGCAUGUCGUGAAGAAUAAAUGGGACAAGCACGUGCAGUUUUUUCUAAUCCAUAA